Molecule: long non-coding RNA, 563 nt
Filed under: Nicotiana tabacum (common tobacco)
Lineage: Eukaryota; Viridiplantae; Streptophyta; Magnoliopsida; Solanales; Solanaceae
Description: long non-coding RNA (NTAB_LNC006629)
Source: RNAcentral
AAUAUUAUAAAUACUUUCAUGAAUAAUAAGUUAGUUAAAUAUAUACAGAAUACUUCAUUGUUCAUUGUCAUUCUACACUUAUACAUACGAAAAAAAAUCAAAAAUAGAAGAAUAAAUGUCUUCAAACUCCUCCUUGGUCAACGCCUCUUGUGGUUGUUUAAGAACCUUAUCCCUGUUAAUAAGGAAAAAUAACACAUUAUCACUUUGAAAUAAAAAAUACAAGCUAACAAUGAUUAACAAUUCAACAAAUUAAACUAAUGAAAGGACGAAUUCCGCAGAGGCAAAACAUUUACCUUAAGAAAGCCCUCAGUUUUCCACAACCAAACUCUAGUCUGAAAGAAGAAAUUGUAAGGACAAGCUUAUGGACUAAAUCAUAUGAUUAGUAGUAACCAUAAAACAUCAAGAACCAAGCCAAAGAAAGGGCUACACUCUACUCAUCCUUCAGCCAACUCCAAAACCAUCAACUUACAUAGAGAAAUUUUCAAUUCUUUAAAACAUCAUCUCAAUCCGUACAAAUACUGCACCAAGACAAACCAGCAGAAGGAAAUCUGCUUUAAAACUUC